This is a non-coding RNA of Chrysemys picta bellii (western painted turtle), 541 nucleotides long. The record is from RefSeq and is a predicted model, not a curated record. Lineage: Eukaryota; Metazoa; Chordata; Testudines; Emydidae.
GGUAAAUACAUUGAGUGAUCAACUUUUGGCUGUGUAGCAACGUGUCGUUCACCUCGUCUGAGAGAGCAGGUGAGGAAUGGGCCAAAGAGGAGCCAGAGGAACAGGAGGACAUAUUGCCAUCUGUGACAGGACCUUGGAUAGAAGAGGAAACUGGAAAAAGGCAUACAAGAGGUCCCCAUCCCAUGGGAAGAUGAGGGCAUCUCCCAGUGAAUGUUUCACCAGGCCAGCCCUGGAGCAGCAACGAGGACAUUUCUUGUUCCAAUGCGGUGGCACUCAGCUGCAGGGACUAGGCUCAGGCUGGCAAUGGGUUUGAAACUCCCAGGCUCCUACUGUGAGACCCUGACACCUUGAUGUCAUAGAAUUGUUUUGUACAAAGUGUGCCUUGCGAGGUGUCAUUCUAAACAUCUUGAUCUGCUGAACAUUAAUAUCUCAAAGGAAGCUUCAAAGGAAGGUUUGAAAGCUAGAAGCCUCUGGUAAGUGGCUGAGCCUUAAUCAGUGGGCGGGGCAUUCAUACAGGCCAAGGCUUUAUAAAGCAGCGCAC